This 358-nucleotide ribosomal RNA is filed under the name uncultured bacterium. RNAcentral describes it as "partial 16S ribosomal RNA". It matches the Rfam family "Bacterial small subunit ribosomal RNA", at positions 338 to 713 of the family's 1533-position model. The record is from RNAcentral.
CCUACGGGUGGCUACAGUAGGGAAUAUUGCGCAAUGGGGGAAACCCUGACGCAGCAACGCCGCGUGAAGGAUGAAGGUUUUCGGUUUGUAAACUUCUGUUGUUAAAGAAGAAAAUCACGUGAUCGAACGAACAACCACCUGCUAACUCCGUGCCAGCAGCCGCGGUAAUACGGAGGGGACAAGCGUUACUCGGAAUUACUGGGCGUAAAGAGCGCGGAGGCGGGAUAGAAAGUCAGAUGUGAAAGCCUAAGGCUUAACCAUAGAAAUGCAUUUGAAACUGUUAUUCUGUAGGAUGGGAGAGGUAGGGGGAAUUCAUGGUGUAGGGGGAAAAGCGGUAGAGAUAAAGAGAAAAACAGAG